Crocodylus porosus (Australian saltwater crocodile) is the source of this 119-nucleotide small nuclear RNA. Its record names the gene U2. It matches the Rfam family "U2 spliceosomal RNA". From Rfam's summary of the family: U2 is a small nuclear RNA (snRNA) component of the spliceosome (involved in pre-mRNA splicing). Complementary binding between U2 snRNA (in an area lying towards the 5' end but 3' to hairpin I) and the branchpoint sequence (BPS) of the intron results the bulging out of an unpaired adenosine, on the BPS, which initiates a nucleophilic attack at the intronic 5' splice site, thus starting the first of two transesterification reactions that mediate splicing. The record is from Ensembl. Lineage: Eukaryota; Metazoa; Chordata; Crocodylia; Crocodylidae.
UGUCCUCCAUCGGAGGUCUAUAUUGAGCAGAUUUUUUUUGGUGUUGGGUGGUGGAACUGGAGCUUGCUCCAUCCACUGCAUGCAUUGACCUGGUAUUACAGUGCUUGCAGGACCGGUGC